This 253-nucleotide ribosomal RNA is filed under the name uncultured prokaryote. RNAcentral describes it as "partial 16S ribosomal RNA". It matches the Rfam family "Bacterial small subunit ribosomal RNA", at positions 524 to 776 of the family's 1533-position model. The record is from RNAcentral.
UACGUAGGUGGCAAGCGUUGUCCGGAUUUAUUGGGUUUAAAGGGUGCGUAGGCGGCCCUGUAAGUCAGCGGUGAAAUACGGCAGCUCAACUGUCGAGGUGCCGUUGAUACUGCGGGGCUUGAGUGUUGACGAGGCAGGCGGAAUUGACGGUGUAGCGGUGAAAUGCUUAGAUAUCGUCAAGAACACCGAUAGCGAAGGCAGCCUGCCAGGCAACAACUGACGCUGAGGCACGAAAGUGCGGGGAUCAAACAGG